Small nuclear RNA from Callithrix jacchus (white-tufted-ear marmoset), 141 nucleotides. Its record names the gene U4. It matches the Rfam family "U4 spliceosomal RNA". From Rfam's summary of the family: U4 small nuclear RNA (U4 snRNA) is a component of the major U2-dependent spliceosome. The structure of U4 snRNA from yeast and human has been reported. U4 snRNA presents a k-turn RNA motif in the 5p-SL related to recognition of Snu13 protein. The record is from Ensembl. Lineage: Eukaryota; Metazoa; Chordata; Mammalia; Primates; Cebidae.
AGCUUUGCAUAGUGGCAGUAUCAUAGCUAAUGAGGUUUAUCUGAGGCGCGAUUAUUGCUAAUUGAAAACUUUUCCCAAUACCCCACUGUGAUGACUUGCAGUAUAGUCAGCAUUGGCAAUUUUUGACAGUCUUUACGGAGA